GAUGAACGCUGGCGGCGUGCCUAAUACAUGCAAGUCGAGCGAACGGACGAGAAGCUUGCUUCUCUGAUGUUAGCGGCGGACGGGUGAGUAACACGUGGAUAACCUACCUAUAAGACUGGGAUAACUUCGGGAAACCGGAGCUAAUACCGGAUAAUAUUUUGAACCGCAUGGUUCAAAAGUGAAAGACGGUCUUGCUGUCACUUAUAGAUGGAUCCGAGCUGCAUUAGCUAGUUGGUAAGGUAAAGGCUUACCACGGCAACGAGGCAUAGCCGACGUGUGAGGGGGAUCGGCCACCCUGGAAGGGGGCCGCGGUCCUUGCUACUGAGGGAGGCAGCAGUAGGGAACCUUCCGCAAUGGGCGAAAGCCUGACGGAGCAACGCCGCGUGAGUGAUGAAGGUGUUCGGAUCGUAAAACUCUGUUAUGAGGGAAGAACAGAUGUGUAAGUAACUGUGCACAUCUUGACGGUACCUAAUCAGAAAGCCACGGCUAACUACGUG
Molecule: ribosomal RNA, 497 nt
Filed under: uncultured bacterium
Lineage: Bacteria
Description: partial 16S ribosomal RNA
Rfam family: Bacterial small subunit ribosomal RNA
Source: RNAcentral